Poeciliopsis prolifica (blackstripe livebearer) is the source of this 664-nucleotide long non-coding RNA. RefSeq lists it as uncharacterized. The transcript is spliced from 3 exons. The record is from RefSeq and is a predicted model, not a curated record. Lineage: Eukaryota; Metazoa; Chordata; Actinopteri; Cyprinodontiformes; Poeciliidae.
GGCUCCUCCUAUACAUGCUCGAAGAGGAAUUAAAGCAGUGCCUUCUUCUUCUUCUUUUUUUUCAAACAGUGGAAAGUUUACACAAAGGAAAGCCUUUAAACCUGGAGCCCGACUCUCUCUUCUUUCUUAAUACUUGCGAGAUGAAAUCAAACUCCCUUUUUGAAAGUUACAUGUCAAGUCUCCCGUCCUUCCUUCCCUUUCUCUCUGUGUUCUCUAAACCUGUCCAGCUUUCCUCCCCUGCAGCAUCAGCCGUUCUGCUGCGGGUCUUAAUAAAUGCUUCCUGGGGGUUUUCAUGGGAGAAACGGCGCAGCGAAGGAGACGCUGCCAGACUAAAUACAGGAACUUGGAAUCUAGGCAUUGGAAGAGAGAGUGAAAGAAAAUCCAGUUCUCCUUGGCUACAUGGGAAGGAGUGCGUUGUUGUUUACUUGAACGCAAAUGCAAACGGAUUUCCAAAGAAUGGUGAAGGAGAAUCGAUCUGAAUUGGUCAUCACUGAAAUGCUUAAAUCUGCAGUAUGAACAAAAUGAUUUUCAGGUGGAGGAGCUCAGUUUCUCCCGUCUCGUCUGCGUCACAUUAUUCUGUCACGACGCAGCGGCAGUGUGAACAAAUCCGCGAAAAACAGAUUGCUCAUAAAAGUCACUCGCUUUGAACUGGACUAAUUUUGGG